Molecule: transfer RNA, 82 nt
Filed under: Paradelphomyia sp. ZK-2016
Lineage: Eukaryota; Metazoa; Arthropoda; Insecta; Diptera; Limoniidae
Description: tRNA-Gln
Source: RNAcentral
AUUAUAUUUAUUCGUACUUUUUGUAUAACAAACUAUUACUUAAAGUAUCAAAAACUUUUGUGCUUCGUACACUAAAAUAUAA